Long non-coding RNA from Passer domesticus (house sparrow), 1596 nucleotides. RefSeq lists it as uncharacterized. The transcript is spliced from 3 exons. The record is from RefSeq and is a predicted model, not a curated record. Lineage: Eukaryota; Metazoa; Chordata; Aves; Passeriformes; Passeridae.
CGGCGCUGUCUCGUGGAAGGACGCCGAGAGCUUCUCCGAGGGUCUGGGGGAACACCUGGAUACGCACUUGGAUGCGUGGAGCAUUGCUCAAAGGAGGUGCCGAGGAACAAAGCUCCGUGCCGGGAAGCAGCAGCCGAACAGAAAUAGGUGAUCAAAGCUUAGAAGAACCUGUAGCAAAUCCUGUUUGCUUGACACUUGGAGCAGUUGGCAUCCAGCCUGGUGUCCUGAGGAUGUGCUCCCAAGGGAAAAAGGCUUUCAACAAAUGGAUUGAAAUCGCUUACCUGUCAUGGGCAUUUCCAACAUGCUGGAAGUGUUUCAGUACUCUGGAGAGCAUGUGUACCUUUCCUGAAAUACACCCUUUUGUUGGCUCUUCAGAUAUUGCUGGAAUCAUGGACAUGGGCAGCUUUACCUAGGUUCCUGAAAACUACUUAUGAACCUUUUUCCCUUGGAAAAUGUUACAUUAACAGACCUCAAUAUGCAAUGUUUGGAAACAACUGAAAUGCUUAUAAGAGAUGAUAAGAAAUAGAAAAUAUAUUCUGCCCUUCUACUGCAGUCAAUAACACCUGUCUGAAGUUGAGGCUUAUUUCUUUUAUACUCUGCAAUGAGCAAGGUCUUGUACAAUCAGGUUUUAUUUUUGUUAUUUCUUGUAAUUUAUUCAUAAAAUCCAACAUGUAAAUUUUAGUACCUGCAGUUAAGUCCAGUCUGUUGGGCCUUAGUGCAUCCAAGGGGUGUUUCAGGCCAUGUGUGAGCAGUAUUUUCACAACUGGGUGUUUUGUUUGGAUGGAGUGACCUUGACAUGAUUCUUUGAGCCCUAGAUUUUUAUUGUGUUCAUAGUGGAAACCUUUAUCCUGCUCCCUGUAGUGAGUGCUGGUGUGCUGUCUGCUCUGGGCCUGAGACCGGAGCCCUUCUCUCAGAGUAAGAUGCAGGGUACUGGGGGUGGUUUGUCCCUUUUCAAAGAGUCACUGGUGAUUCUGGUGCAAAAAGUAUGGAGAAUGUUGCAGAAAAAAUCAGUACAAAAAUAGGGUGUGGAGUCUUGGAGUGAUGGGAAAGGACUGGCUUUUCUAUGCUUAUAUAUGUUUGUGCAGAUGGUGAUGUUCAUAGCUGUGUGUUUUAGAGCUGUUGUACCUGAGCCUGAAAAUGGAGCUGUGGCAUAAACCGGACUAAAUUUCAGCAAGAAACAAUAAAUUCACUGAAAAUAUUGUGAUGGGACCUGCCCUAUUGUGUCAGCCCCCUGACACAAGCUGCAGGUACUCUGCACUUGGCAACUUCUGUGGGGUCUGGAGGAUUUUUGUAUGGAAGUUCUGCCACAUGGCUGACCAGGGACUGAGGUUUUGUGUAGUAGCAGGGCGAUGCCCAGACCCUGACUGAGUGUGGUUUACUCUUAACACAUUGCAUUGCUGCAAUGGCAGUUGCUAUUAAAUUUAUCAAAGAAUUAUUAACAUUAAACCAAAAUAUCUACAUAGAAAUCACUGUCGAGUUUCUCUCAACAAAGCACCAGUGAUGGCACCAGAGGAACAGGCAGUAACUGAUGCCCGGGAAUUCCCCCUGCACAGGAGGCAGAACUUCUUCCCUGGGCACUGCCUGAGCCCUGAACAG